GGGAAUAUUGGGCAAUGGGCGCAAGCCUGACCCAGCAACGCCGCGUGAAGGAAGAAGGCCCUCGGGUUGUAAACUUCUUUUAUCAGGGACGAAGCAAGUGACGGUACCUGAUGAAUAAGCCACGGCUAACUCCGUGCCAGCAGCCGCGGUAAUACGGAGGAUGCGAGCGUUAUCCGGAUUUAUUGGGUUUAAAGGGUGCGUAGGCGGGAUGCCAAGUCAGCGGUCAAAUACGGGGGCUCAACCUGCGUCCGCCGUUGAAACUGGCGUUCUUGAGUGGGCGAGAAGUACGCGGAAUGCGUGGUGUAGCGGUGAAAUGCAUAGAUAUCACGCAGAACCCCGAUUGCGAAGGCAGCGUACCGGCGCCCUACUGACGCUGAAGCACGAAAGCGUGGGUAUCGAACAG
RNAcentral lists this ribosomal RNA (403 nucleotides) under uncultured bacterium. Its description in RNAcentral is "bacterial SSU rRNA". It matches the Rfam family "Bacterial small subunit ribosomal RNA", at positions 357 to 775 of the family's 1533-position model. The record is from RNAcentral.